GACGAACGCUGGCGGCGUGCUUAACACAUGCAAGUCGAACGGAAAGGCCCUGCUUUUGUGGGGUGCUCGAGUGGCGAACGGGUGAGUAACACGUGAGUAACCUGCCCUUGACUUUGGGAUAACUUCAGGAAACUGGGGCUAAUACCGGAUAGGAGCUCCUGCUGCAUGGUGGGGGUUGGAAAGUUUCGGCGGUUGGGGAUGGACUCGCGGCUUAUCAGCUUGUUGGUGGGGUAGUGGCUUACCAAGGCUUUGACGGGUAGCCGGCCUGAGCGGGUGACCGGCCACAUUGGGACUGAGAUACGGCCCAGACUCCUACGGGAGGCAGCAGUGGGGAAUAUUGCACAAUGGGCGGGAGCCUGAUGCAGCAACGCCGCGUGCGGGAUGACGGCCUUCGGGUUGUAAACCGCUUUCGCCUGUGACGAAGCGUGAGUGACGGUAAUGGGUAAAGAAGCACCGGCUAACUACGUG
RNAcentral lists this ribosomal RNA (468 nucleotides) under uncultured bacterium. RNAcentral's name for it is "partial 16S ribosomal RNA". It matches the Rfam family "Bacterial small subunit ribosomal RNA", at positions 28 to 507 of the family's 1533-position model. The record is from RNAcentral.